ACUAAAGCGGGUAGGAUGCGGAUCCAGCUGCCUACCCGAUUACUUGAGCGGACCUCUCGAUCCUCAUCGAUCGUUCUUCCUCGUCCUCUUCGGCUUCGCGUCUCCCCUUCGAUGGCUUGGUUGCUCUCUGCCAGAACCGUAGCCGGAGCCUCGCCCAGCCUCACUACUGCCGCCCGCCCUUUCAGCCUUCGUCGCCUCUCCGGCCGUCCCGACGAGAAGGUAGACCUCGUCCAGCCGGAGAUCGAGGCGGAGGAUCCCUCCUCGGAGAUCGAGGUCUUCGGGAUGCUACGCCUCGAGGAAGCCAUACACACCAUGAUAGUUCGCAGAUCCGCUCCCGAUUGGCUGCCCUUCAUCCCUGGCUCCUCCUACUGGGUUCCGCGCCGCGGGCGCCCCCCUGGUGUCGUCGAGCUCGUCAGCAAGUUCACCAAUCCGAUGACAGUGGACGAGAUCUUGUCGUUCACUAUCGAUCCUGUCUUGUCUCCCUCCGCUUAUUUCGUGGAAGGCAUUUAUUUAUUUUUAUCUACAUGACUGUAUCGAUGGCCCCAUCUCUCACCUCCAAAGCUUUCCGAUUGACCAGUUAACCUUGUAUGAGCUAACUCUGAAGCUUAAGCCGGCCAAUGAAAUGGAAGCCAAAGUUAACAAACUCAGGUACAGCUCCGCAACCAAUGAGGAAGAUCGAAGGGAGGACCAAGGUGUUCUCUGAUGAUGAAAAAAGCUGAACGUCACCCAACAGGCUUUCGCUGAGGUUAUUUUUUUGUUGCUUGUACGAGGAGUACAACGAACAAAGAAACCAGGAUAGAACUCAAUCGAACUGAAUUCUUCUGCGAGUGUGAAUUUAUGUGAGUGCCAUCUUCGACAUCUCUAAGCCCAAACUUAAUGAAUAUUAGUGCUAGUGAAUUUGUUAUCGGGAUUGCUGAAUCUGUGUACUAAUAUGCUGGCUCUUUCACACGGCGACUUAAAUGCCAAGCAUUCUAUCUCCUUGUACACAUGGGUCGGGAGAUUGCAGCCGUUGGCUUUCAGUCCGCCAAUGCAAACUAGUCCUACCUUCUCGUCCUGCCCCCAGGCAUUCAGAUGUUGAAACUUUGGUAAAACUUUGUUCAUAAUGUGAUCGAUAAUGAUCUGAUCCACUCAUGGUCAUAUCUAUUCCAUAAUGAAAAUGAUAAAAUUGGCAUGUGAAAA
Musa acuminata subsp. malaccensis (wild Malaysian banana) is the source of this 1179-nucleotide non-coding RNA. The record is from RefSeq and is a predicted model, not a curated record. NCBI's taxonomy places the organism in Eukaryota, Viridiplantae, Streptophyta, Magnoliopsida, Zingiberales, Musaceae.